This 465-nucleotide ribosomal RNA is filed under the name uncultured bacterium. RNAcentral describes it as "partial 16S ribosomal RNA". It matches the Rfam family "Bacterial small subunit ribosomal RNA", at positions 338 to 795 of the family's 1533-position model. The record is from RNAcentral.
CCUACGGGUGGCAGCAGUAGGGAAUCUUCCACAAUGGACGAACGUCUGAUGGAGCAACGCCGCGUGAGUGAAGAAGGGUUUCGGCUCGUACAGCUCUGUUGGUAGUGAAGAAAGAUAGAGGUAGUAACUGGCCUUUAUUUGACGGUAAUUACUUAGACAGUCACGGCUAACUACGUGCCAGCAGCCGCGGUAAUACGUAGGUGGCAAGCGUUGUACUGAUUUAUUGGGCGUAAGGCGAGUGCAGGCGGGUCAAGAAGUCUGAUGUGAAAGCCUUCGGCUCACCCGGAGAAUUGCAUCAGAAACUGUUGAACUUGAGUGCAGAAGAGGAGAGUGGAACUACAUGUGUAGCGGUGGAAUGCGUAGAUAUAUGGAAGAACACCAGUGGCGAAGGCGUCUCUCUGGUCUGCAACUGACGCUGAGGCUCGAAAGCAUGGGUAGCGAACAGGAUUAGAUACCCUGGUAGUC